RNAcentral lists this ribosomal RNA (250 nucleotides) under uncultured Chroococcidiopsis sp. Its description in RNAcentral is "partial 16S ribosomal RNA". It matches the Rfam family "Bacterial small subunit ribosomal RNA", at positions 796 to 1044 of the family's 1533-position model. Lineage: Bacteria; Bacillati; Cyanobacteriota; Cyanophyceae; Chroococcidiopsidales; Chroococcidiopsidaceae. The record is from RNAcentral.
CUAGCUGUAAACGAUGGAUACUAGGCGUUGAGAGUAUCGACCCUCUCAGUGUCGUAGCUAACGCGUUAAGUAUCCCGCCUGGGGAGUACGCGCGCAAGCGUGAAACUCAAAGGAAUUGACGGGGGCCCGCACAAGCGGUGGAGUAUGUGGUUUAAUUCGAUGCAACGCGAAGAACCUUACCAGGGCUUGACAUGUCCGGAACCCUGUCCAAAGGCGGGGGUGCCUACGGGAACCGGAACACAGGUGGUGC